GACGAACGCUGGCGGUGUGCCUCACACAUGCAAGUCGAGCGGACGAAGAUUGAAGCUUGCUUCAGUCCUAGUUAGCGGCGGACGGGUGAGUAACACGUAGGAAUCUGCCUUCAGGCGGGGGGACAACGGAACGAAAGUUGCGCUGAUACCCCAUAUGCGAGUAAUCGUAAAAGGAGCAAUCCACCGGAAGAUGAGCCUGCGUCCGAUUAGCUAGUUGGUAGGGUAAAAGCCUACCAAGGCUACGAUCGGUAGUUGGUCUGAGAGGAUGAUCAGCCACAAUGGAACUGAGACACGGUCCAUACUCCUACGGGAGGCAGCAGUGGGGAAUUUUACGCAAUGGGCGAAAGCCUGACGUAGCGACACCGCGUGAGCGAAGAAGCCUUUUGGGGUGUAAAGCUCUGUCAGCUGGAACGAACACAAUGACGGUACCAGCAGAGGAAGCAUCGGCUAACUACGUG
This 458-nucleotide ribosomal RNA is filed under the name uncultured bacterium. Its description in RNAcentral is "bacterial SSU rRNA". It matches the Rfam family "Bacterial small subunit ribosomal RNA", at positions 28 to 507 of the family's 1533-position model. The record is from RNAcentral.